RNAcentral lists this ribosomal RNA (468 nucleotides) under uncultured bacterium. RNAcentral describes it as "bacterial SSU rRNA". It matches the Rfam family "Bacterial small subunit ribosomal RNA", at positions 8 to 521 of the family's 1533-position model. The record is from RNAcentral.
AGAGUUUGAUCCUGGCUCAGAACGUACGCUGGCGGCACGCCUGAUACAUGCAAGUCGAACGAGGUAGCAAUACCUAGUGGCAGACGGGUGAGUAACAUGUGGGUACCUUCCCUUUGGUGAGGAAUAACACGAGGAAACUUGUGCUAAUACCUCAUAAGUCUUUACGGAGAAAGCUUUAUGCGCCAAUGGAUGGGCCCGCACUUGAUUAGUUAGUUGGUAGGGUAAUGGCCUACCAAGACUUUGAUCAAUAGCUGAUUUGAGAGGAUGAUCAGCCACAUUGGGACUGAGACACGGCCCAAACUCCUACGGGAGGCAGCAGUAGGGAAUCUUGCACAAUGGAGGAAACUCUGAUGCAGCGAUGCCGCGUGAGUGAAGAAGGCCUUUGGGUUGUAAAGCUCUUUCGUCGGGGAAGAAAAUGACUGUACCCGAAUAAGAAGGUCCGGCUAACUUCGUGCCAGCAGCCGCGGU